This 866-nucleotide ribosomal RNA is filed under the name uncultured bacterium. RNAcentral describes it as "bacterial SSU rRNA". It matches the Rfam family "Bacterial small subunit ribosomal RNA", at positions 56 to 916 of the family's 1533-position model. The record is from RNAcentral.
UGCAGUCGAACGGCAGCACGGGAGCAAUCCUGGUGGCGAGUGGCGAACGGGUGAGUAAUAUAUCGGAACGUGCCCAGUCGUGGGGGAUAACGUAGCGAAAGCUACGCUAAUACCGCAUACGAUCUACGGAUGAAAGCGGGGGACUCGUAAGGGCCUCGCGCGAUUGGAGCGGCCGAUAUCAGAUUAGGUUGUUGGUGAGGUAAAAGCUCACCAAGCCUGCGAUCUGUAGCUGGUCUGAGAGGACGACCAGCCACACUGGAACUGAGACACGGUCCAGACUCCUACGGGAGGCAGCAGUGGGGAAUUUUGGACAAUGGACGCAAGUCUGAUCCAGCAAUGCCGCGUGCAGGACGAAGGCCUUCGGGUUGUAAACUGCUUUUGUACGGAACGAAACGGUCUGCUUUAAUACAGUGGGCUAAUGACGGUACCGUAAGAAUAAGCACCGGCUAACUACGUGCCAGCAGCCGCGGUAAUACGUAGGGUGCGAGCGUUAAUCGGAAUUACUGGGCGUAAAGCGUGCGCAGGCGGUUAUAUAAGUCAGAUGUGAAAUCCCCGGGCUCAACCUGGGACCUGCAUUUGAGACUGUAUAGCUAGAGUACGGUAGAGGGGGAUGGAAUUCCGCGUGUAGCAGUGAAAUGCGUAGAUAUGCGGAGGAACACCGAUGGCGAAGGCAAUCCCCUGGACCUGUACUGACGCUCAUGCACGAAAGCGUGGGGAGCAAACAGGAUUAGAUACCCUGGUAGUCCACGCCCUAAACGAUGUCAACUGGUUGUUGGGUCUUCACUGACUCAGUAACGAAGCUAACGCGUGAAGUUGACCGCCUGGGGAGUACNGGCCGCAAGGUUGAAACUCAAAGGAAUUGACGG